Molecule: long non-coding RNA, 342 nt
Organism: Anser brachyrhynchus (Pink-footed goose)
Lineage: Eukaryota; Metazoa; Chordata; Aves; Anseriformes; Anatidae
Source: Ensembl
GAUAAUUAUCAAUAUAUCAAAACUGUUUAGUUUGAUUUUGACAUUCUCAAUUUAUUUUUCACUACUCAGCAAAACAAGUAGCAGAGAAUGCUCCAGUAGACCUCUAGGAAAAUCAAAUAAAAUACAAAAACAUCACAUGAAAAAGCAAAGUCUGUUCUGAAAGGUCUUCAUAUCCAACAUUUGCUAAAGGUAACACAAGCAUCCAGUGUCUUUACAGCAAAUGAACCAAGAGAAGAAGUUCAAGGAGUAGAAGUACAAGAUGACAAAUACGUGCAAGCAGAGGUGCCGAUUGAUCAGGUAAAGUUAAGGCAAAUUUGUUGCUUUCUCUAAUAUGAUCAUGAG